This 627-nucleotide ribosomal RNA is filed under the name Triticum aestivum (bread wheat). RNAcentral describes it as "partial small subunit ribosomal RNA". Lineage: Eukaryota; Viridiplantae; Streptophyta; Magnoliopsida; Poales; Poaceae. The record is from RNAcentral.
AUGGACAUGCGAGGGGAUCCCGGGGCUAGUGCAGCCAUGGCCUGGAGCUCGCCCCUUCUCCUGCGCGGGGACGCCAGCUACCGCAGAGCCCAGCUACCAACGGAUCCCCACCGCCAGGCACGCCACCUCCUGUUGCAGUCCUCCCUCAAGUGCGCCAGGGCACGCGAUGCGGUUUGGCGCUCGUGGCCGUGCAGGUGCAUUACCCCCCGCUCCCAACAACCACGAGCAGCAGCGCGUAUGGCAGUGGACACAACCGAGUAUCCUUCUCCUCUGCUCCCUUCCUCAGCCAACAUCCAUGGAGGUGCAUGUGACGUCGUGACGACGAGUUCAUUCUCUGUUGGCAAGGUAAUGCAUUUUUCAGUAUGGUGUGCAGUUCCAUCAGUGUGGUCGUGCAGCACGCGGGCGUGGGUUUGCAAUGUGGUGCCCAUCUACGUGCAGCCCACGAGAAGGCGACUGUUCUUCCCUCUAAUUCUACGGACGAGCUGCACAAAACUGCAGUCAUCCCGAGCCUGCUGCCGAGGAGCCGGCGAGCGCGCCCGCGGCGCCACCGCCUACCUGAACCUUGAAUCGGGCGACUGCUACGGGGACAGCACCGCCGUCUCCUCCCUUGUGCGGGUGCUCCACUGA